AACAAUCCAGAAAAAAAGAAAAAUGUCUCAGAACAUCAGUCCCUUCACCGCCGCUGACUCCACUGUUCCUUAUAUUUUUUUUUUUUUGGGUAUCUUUUUCUUUGAAGUCAUUU
Molecule: non-coding RNA, 113 nt
Filed under: Heterosigma akashiwo
Lineage: Eukaryota; Raphidophyceae; Chattonellales; Chattonellaceae
Source: RNAcentral